Molecule: ribosomal RNA, 495 nt
Filed under: uncultured bacterium
Lineage: Bacteria
Description: partial 16S ribosomal RNA
Rfam family: Bacterial small subunit ribosomal RNA
Source: RNAcentral
GACGAACGCUGGCGGCGUGCCUAAUACAUGCAAGUAGAACGCUGAAGGAGGAGCUUGCUUCUCUGGAUGAGUUGCGAACGGGUGAGUAACGCGUAGGUAACCUGCCUGGUAGCGGGGGAUAACUAUUGGAAACGAUAGCUAAUACCGCAUAAUAGUAGAUGUUGCAUGACAUUUGCUUAAAAGGUGCAAUUGCAUCACUACCAGAUGGACCUGCGUUGUAUUAGCUAGUUGGUGAGGUAACGGCUCACCAAGGCGACGAUACAUAGCCGACCUGAGAGGGUGAUCGGCCACACUGGGACUGAGACACGGCCCCGAAUCCUACGGGAGGCAGCAGUAGGGGAUCUUCGGCAAUGGACGGAAGUCUGACCGAGCAACGCCGCGUGAGUGAAGAAGGUUUUCGGAUCGUAAAGCUCUGUUGUAAGAGAAGAACGAGUGUGAGAGUGGAAAGUUCACACUGUGACGGCAUCUUAACAGAAAGAGACGGCUAACUACGUG